GACAGAGGGGGCAAGCGUUGCUCGGAAUUACUGGGCGUAAAGGGCGCGUAGGCGGGAUGGCAAGUCGGUCGUGAAAUCCCUCGGCUCAACCGAGGAACGUCGAUCGAUACUGCUGUUCUUGAGGAUUGCAGAGGAGACUGGAAUUCCCGGUGUAGCGGUGAAAUGUGUAGAGAUCGGGAGGAACACCGGUGGCGAAGGCGGGUCUCUGGGCAAUUCCUGACGCUGAGGCACGAAAGCGUGGGGAGCAAACAGG
RNAcentral lists this ribosomal RNA (253 nucleotides) under uncultured bacterium. Its description in RNAcentral is "partial 16S ribosomal RNA". It matches the Rfam family "Bacterial small subunit ribosomal RNA", at positions 524 to 776 of the family's 1533-position model. The record is from RNAcentral.